AGCAGCAGCCGCGGUAAUACGUAGGGUGCAAGCGUUAAUCGGAAUUACUGGGCGUAAAGCGUGCGCAGGCGGUUAUAUAAGUCAGAUGUGAAAUCCCCGGGCUCAACCUGGGAACUGCAUUUGAGACUGUAUGGCUAGAGUGUGUCAGAGGGGGGUAGAAUUCCACGUGUAGCAGUGAAAUGCGUAGAUAUGUGGAGGAAUACCGAUGGCGAAGGCAGCCCCCUGGGAUAACACUGACGCUCGUGCACGAAAGCGUGGGGAGCAAACAGGAUUAGAUACCCGCGUAGUCCCUGUCUCUUAUAC
RNAcentral lists this ribosomal RNA (303 nucleotides) under uncultured bacterium. Its description in RNAcentral is "partial 16S ribosomal RNA". It matches the Rfam family "Bacterial small subunit ribosomal RNA", at positions 507 to 807 of the family's 1533-position model. The record is from RNAcentral.